UGGACGAAGUCUGACGGAGCACGCCGCGUGAGUGAUGAAGGUUUUCGGAUCGUAAAGCUCUGUUGUUAGGGAAGAACAAGUGCAAGAGUAACUGCUUGCACCUUGACGGUACCUAACCAGAAAGCCACGGCUAACUACGUGCCAGCAGCCGCGGUAAUACGUAGGUGGCAAGCGUUGUCCGGAAUUAUUGGGCGUAAAGGGCUCGCAGGCGGUUUCUUAAGUCUGAUGUGAAAGCCCCCGGCUCAACCGGGGAGGGUCAUUGGAAACUGGGAAACUUGAGUGCAGAAGAGGAGAGUGGAAUUCCACGUGUAGCGGUGAAAUGCGUAGAGAUGUGGAGGAACACCAGUGGCGAAGGCGACUCUCUGGUCUGUAACUGACGCUGAGGAGCGAAAGCGUGGGGAGCGAACAGGAUUAGAUACCCUGGUAGUCCACGCCGUAAACGAUGAGUGCUAAGUGUUAGGGGGUUUCCGCCCCUUAGUGCUGCAGCUAACGCAUUAAGCACUCCGCCUGGGGAGUACGGUCGCAAGACUGAAACUCAAAGGAAUUGACGGGGGCCCGCACAAGCGGUGGAGCAUGUGGUUUAAUUCGAAGCAACGCGAAGAACCUUACCAGGUCUUGACAUCCUCUGACAACCCUAGAGAUAGGGCUUUCCCUUCGGGGACAGAGUGACAGGUGGUGCAUGGUUGUCGUCAGCUCGUGUCGUGAGAUGUUGGGUUAAGUCCCGCAACGAGCGCAACCCUUGAUCUUAGUUGCCAGCAUUCAGUUGGGCACUCUAAGGUGACUGCCGGUGACAAACCGGAGGAAGGUGGGGAUGACGUCAAA
This 822-nucleotide ribosomal RNA is filed under the name uncultured Bacillus sp. RNAcentral's name for it is "bacterial SSU rRNA". It matches the Rfam family "Bacterial small subunit ribosomal RNA", at positions 372 to 1189 of the family's 1533-position model. The record is from RNAcentral. Lineage: Bacteria; Bacillati; Bacillota; Bacilli; Caryophanales; Bacillaceae.